This is a long non-coding RNA of Carya illinoinensis, 1032 nucleotides long. RefSeq lists it as uncharacterized. NCBI's taxonomy places the organism in Eukaryota, Viridiplantae, Streptophyta, Magnoliopsida, Fagales, Juglandaceae. The transcript is spliced from 2 exons. The record is from RefSeq and is a predicted model, not a curated record.
CACGGCACCCACCUGGUCUUCUAUUUAUACACCUCUUUAUCCUCUUUUCUCCAUCAAACCCUAGCAGAAGUACCAGUACUGAUGAUCACGACAAGACAAGUCCCUUCCUUUCCAUUUACCCUCAUAGCAGUAGUGCGCAUUUUCUUAUCAUGUGCACCCCCAUCAGUUGAAGCUGCCAGCAUGAUCUUAAACUUUCUCCUUUGCUGAGGAAAGAUCAGAUCAUGGGGCAGUUUCACCUGUUGUUGGCCGCACCAGUAACCCUAAUUCGGCCCUCACAAACCCUAUCUUACAUGUUUUUGUUUUUUUACUUUUUCUUUUCCUUGCAUGAUCAAUCCCUAGAAAAAGGUGCAUGUAUAUGUAAUCUUCUCGUCCAUGAUUUGAAAUCGUACCAGGUUUCGAUGGUUUUUAAUUUCUAAAUAUUUCAGUGUACAAGUACCUGUACUGGUUUCUGUAUAGAUUAUUGUGCUUCAUUUUCUUUAUUAUGGGAAAUUCGACAGGAACAUGUUAAGUGCUUCUUCUUGUUAGGGUUUUCAGAGACAGAAAUUCUACUUGGGGAUUGUAGGGUUUUGACUGACAAGAGUUUCCGCUUCUCCUGGCUCCUUAGAUCUACACGUUUAAUGCAGAUCUCCCCCAGUGAUUUGGCGAUUGAGCAUUGCUUGAUGCCGCAGUACUGCUUUUGUUAAGUAAUAAUGGCUAAGCAUAAGCAUCUCUCAUCCAGAUAUAUGCUGCGCUGAUCUCCUAAUAUGUGGAGAUGAGGAUCAUCACUGGAAUAGUACUCAACUUGUCACAAAUGAAGGGUUAUUCUCAGUUCAGCCUUUACCUAGCUAGCUAGCUAGUUGGUUCGUUGUGGAUGCCAUAUAUGUGACUGUGCUAGCUUUUACAAUUUACCUUUACAGUUGCGGUUUCAUGCUCUCGUAUUAUUGUAUAUAUAAUUAAUUCCCUCAAGCCUAUGGAUAGACAAAAAGAAUUAGAACAAGAUGAAGUUGAUGAUGAUGAUGAUGUACUACUGAAUAAACCUUUCACUUUUAAGUA